AAUGUUUUUAAACAGCAGUUUGACUAAGAUAAUCUAAUUGAGAGAGUAUGUAAAUUUUCCAAAAUAGCAUAAUGGCCUAAUAAGGUUUUACUGAUUAUAGAUCUCAAAGAUAUGCUUAGAAGAAAAUUUUGUUACUUGGGGUAUAAAAACAUGAAGGUAACUGAAAUAUUCACCAUUGAAUAGAAGCUUAUUCUAUAGAGAUUACAGCUUAUUUAUGUAUGUAUGCUCAUGAAUGUAAUUCAUACUGAAAUAUUCCAACACUAAAGUGCAUUCUGUAGAAUUUUCAAUGGGUAAAUGAAUUAGCUUUCCAUUACAGAAGUAUGCAUAUUCCUUGAGUUUUUCUACCCACAGUGUUAUGAGUUACAAAGUAUUACACAUGAGUAAGGACAUUUUUAUUGUUAUGUAAUAUCACUGCUACAAUAUGGGUCAUUUCAUAGUUCUAUUUGAAGUUUUGAAAAAUGUGAUAGAAAGAAAAACAUAUGCAUACUUUUGAAUUGUUACAUGACAAAAUGUAGAAGGAAUGAAUGGUUUAUGUGACUAGAAUAUUGUCUGGAAGACUAUAUGGAUUUUUAUUCUUCAUGUAGAGAUGAGAUUAGAAAGACUGCUUCUGUCUGCAUUUGAAUUUUUAUAAAAACACUUACAAAUGAACACUUAAAAAAGGAAAUAUGACAGAGACAAUCACUUUGUACUUGUUUACAUCCUUGCCUAUCAACACCAUGGGAACAUUUGGUUGUGUUAUCCAACUUUAUAUUCCUAGCAGUAUGAUGAGUGAUUUUGUGAAGACCAUUCAACAUAGAAACUUUUGCAUCAAAAUUUUACAGUGGAGAAAACAGUGUUGAUUACUUCAAGAAAGAAAGGAACAAUGAAAUUUCAGAUGACCAUUAGAAAGCCAUAUUUGAAGCUGCCUUGGGGGCAGCUGGUGAAGUCAUCAGGAACACUCCCUUUGAGUACCUUCAUAAUUUACGUGUCUUCACUAUAAACCAUAGAAAUUUCUAAAGAUAUUCAACAUGGAGAUCCACUUACCUGCUAUAUUUGCUCUUUCUUCUGUGAGGUGAUUACUGGAAAGGAUCUUAUGCCAUUUUUUCUACUAAUUGCUUCACUAAAAUAAAAAAUGGUUUUCAUAAUGCUCAGGGAGUUCUCACUAAACAUGUGUGGCAAAGAACGGUCCUUGCGGAUCAGAAACCCUGGAUUCAGAAAGCCCAUUUUGGAAGGAAACCUAAAGGAUACCUUUGAAGGAAAUACUGUUAAUAAUAAUUGUUGAUGAACUAAAUCACAAGAGCUGGUUUAUGGAGACAUUAGUACACAGAUGACUUCAAUUGGUGGAAUUAACAGUGCAUCCUUAAAAUGCUCCCUGUCUAAUUCACAUGUAAUAUUUCCAUCCAGUUUAAUAGAUUAAUUAGGAGUGAUUACAUUUUUUAAUGUUGAGUCUUCUUAUCCAGCUGCAAGAGAUGUUGCACAUUUCUUCAUGUAGCCAUUUUUACCUCUUCAUUUGAGAAGUCUUCAGCUCCUUUGCCAAUUUAUAAAUUAGGCCUCUUUCCAAACAAAGGACCAAAGACACUUUUCUUGAAGGUAGAGGCCUUUUGGACAAGUGCAUUACCUAUACCUUCUGCAGUGGUUUAAUCCAUAUCACCCAAGUAUUGCCAUCAUUUAUCCUUUCUGGGAUCUUGCUGCAUCUGUGUCUCACUCCUUUUAUAGAAGACUGCCUAGAAAUAGAAAGUGACCUGCUUUUCGGCAAGUAAUUGCCUAGAAUUUUGAAUACAUAACAAAUGUUCUCAUUAUAUCUUAUGCUUCCCUCUAUGGUUGUAUAUUUGCUGCUUCAUUUUGUUCACAUUUUGCUUUGCUAAUGUAAAAGUGGUUUGUGUGAGCAGUGUAUUUAGUAAAAUUCUUUGGUGACCUUUGUUAUACAGUAAACAAUAAUAAGGCAUUCUACAUAGGUGAAUGAUUAGUGUGUGCCAGUUUUGUAAAAUACUUUCCCCUUUGUUUGUGUCAGAAAGUCCAGAGUUUUAGGCAAGACCUAAAAUUAUUUUAAAUAUUUCCUAUCUGGUGUAUACCCUCUAGUUUACCCUUUUGUUGAAUAUAUAUGGGUCUCAUUCUUGGUCAGAAAUAGACUGACUGUGCUUUGCCUCUUUUCCAAUGCUAAAACCUAAGAUUAAGAUGUCAUCACAACUUUGAAUGUUUAACAGAGAGCCAGAUAUUUAUCUCGACAUUUACAGCCAUGGUGAUGUCAUCUUAUAGAAAAUGUAGUCCCAUCAAUUUCUUGGUAGUGAUCUCUUCUUUGGAUGGAAUAAAAAUCUCAGUACCAAAGUUAUGUUAGUUUGUUCUACAUCAUCUCAACUUUAAUUUGGGUUCUACUUAACCUAAGUGUAGUUAAUAUAAAGUUCUGUUUAUUUGAAGUUUUAACUAUCUAUUUAUAGAUUAUAAACUGUUUUGUCCAUCAGGGAACUAUUGCCUUCAUUGCUACUCAAAGAGGCAAGUUUAUACAAGUAGAGCAUUCAUUAACAUUGCCUCAUCUUAUUUUAGUGUUAGCAAAAAAAGCAAUUGCUAGGAUUUUAAGAUUGUAAUACUCCCUUUCUUUUAAAGUCUGUUUUAGCCACAGAAUAUUUAAUGAUUUAAAUUAUUAAAUAUAUGCUGCUAUCCAUUUCACCUUUCUCAUUAUAAUUCAUUUCUUUUAACUAGAUACUGAAGUAUAAUCUGUGUUCUUUAUAUAGUACCCAUUUUAUAUACAGUGAAAUUUCCUUUUAAAAUGUUAGUAUUCUAACCAUAUACUUUUAUUUUACUAAAAUAUUAUUUUGUUUUUUGGUAGGGAUAACCUAACUUUGUUUUUAAGGAAUGAGGCCUUAAAAGACCAUACAGGUGCAAAUAGUCAACUCUGCCAUCAAACUGUGAAAUCAGCUAUGAUUAAUCCUUAAACAAAUGUAUAUAACUGUGUUCUAGUGAAAUUUAACUGACACAAAACAGCUAAUAGGCCAGAUUUGGAACAAAGUCUAUAGUUUUCUUAUCCUUGGCCUAUGGUAUAAGUUCCAUUUUAUCAUAUGAAAGUCAGGUCAAUAGAAAAAUCAAAAGGGAGAAAAAUAAUUUCUUCUUGUGUCAGUUUUCUGAAUCCUCAAACUUGUAAUAUGGAGUUAAUAAUGGAAGGAAUGUAUUUUAGGCUUUUGUCUUGGCUCCUAAAUCUCAAUUUUCUAUAUAUCUUCCCCUGAUACCCACCUUUGCAUUUAGGCUAAUAGUACAUUUGAAAAUGGCCAUAAAAUUAAUGAAGAAUUAAAUGAUAGAAAUCAGUCUUUGAUCUUUAUUUGUUUUCCAUCUUCCAAGUGUGACAAAUGUUAAAAGUUAAUCUCAUAUCUUAUAUAUUUAAUGUUGUCUAAGGUUCUAUAAAUUUAUGUGAAAUUCUGAAUGAUUGUUAUGGGAAAUGUAAUCUUGUAACAUUUUAUUUUCUUUAAUAUGUGAUGAUAUAUUUCCAGGCCAGUAAAUACAUAUUACUUUUAAUUGGAAAUAAAGUUCACAUGAUGAUA
This is a long non-coding RNA of Dipodomys spectabilis (banner-tailed kangaroo rat), 3509 nucleotides long. RefSeq lists it as uncharacterized. The record is from RefSeq and is a predicted model, not a curated record. Lineage: Eukaryota; Metazoa; Chordata; Mammalia; Rodentia; Heteromyidae. The transcript is spliced from 8 exons.